AGUUUGACUGCCUGACAGGUAACUGAGCGCUGCUGCAUGUAGUUACCCUUCACCUCUCCACCUGCCUGCCCAUCACUUUCACUUUAGGAUUUGGUUAAACCAGCUCUGCUGCUUCACCCACAGUGACAUCUACGCUACAAUUUAAGAGCAUGACAGACAAGGAGACGGAGACCUCAUUUUAAGCUCAUUUUUACUUGUUCCGGUCGGCUAACGGUAGUUAGCUACAGGCUAACAUGUUUAGCAUGUUGAAAUCAAUCUGGAGCUGCUUUUUGAAACUGCUCAGGUGGGAGAACCUAUUCAUAGAAGAACUGUACGUCGUACUCUUCACAAAUCUGACAUGGAACGUGACCCGUCCAGAGUCCGUACUUCCGGCUCAAUGGCCGCUGGACCCUGGGAGGAAACGCAGCGACGCAAUAGGCCGAGUUGGGUCAAGACACAGGAGUCAACAAAAGAUGGCUUCCCUGUUGUUGUGCUCACAGCGAAUUAAUUAAAGCGCCAAGGUUCAUGCCUCAACAGAAGCGGCUGCUAAAGCGCUAAUUUAUGUUACAGCUUUGCAUUUUAAAAAUUUAAUCUUUUCUCGGACAUUAAAUGAAAGUUGCUUU
Xiphophorus couchianus (Monterrey platyfish) is the source of this 602-nucleotide long non-coding RNA. RefSeq lists it as uncharacterized. The record is from RefSeq and is a predicted model, not a curated record. NCBI's taxonomy places the organism in Eukaryota, Metazoa, Chordata, Actinopteri, Cyprinodontiformes, Poeciliidae. The transcript has 4 exons.